AAGUCGUAACAAGGUUUCCGUAGGUGAACCUGCGGAAGGAUCAUUAACACGUAUCCAACGUAUCAACCAACCGUGAACUGUUUUCCCCUCCCUUGGCGAGGAAUGAAUCGGAACUGUGUGCGACUGUUGAGUGGGGCCUUCGGGCCGGUCAAGCACAGCUAUCUACGCGUUUCGGCGCGUUAACGAUUGGAUUCUCGCGAAGGCUAUUUUUCCCUAUCAAUUUCUCCAUUCAAGAGGAUGAUAGUGGAUAACACACUAACCAUUUUAACCCGUUUUGCUAGUUGAUUUUUUAAUGUUGAAGCUUCGAAAGAAGCCUCACACGUUUAUUAUUUGAACGUAAAAUACAACUCUUAGCAAUGGAUAUCUUGGUUCUC
Molecule: unclassified non-coding RNA, 374 nt
Filed under: fungal sp.
Lineage: Eukaryota; Fungi
Description: partial internal transcribed spacer region
Rfam family: Eukaryotic small subunit ribosomal RNA (bases 1-46)
Source: RNAcentral